GUGAGGUAACAGUUACAAUAAUUAAUUUUUUUCAUCAUAAUUAUUUUUAAUUUUAUUGAAGGUAAACGUAUUGCUCAUCUAAAAGCAUAAUCUUUUAGAUCAAACUCAGUUUGACUGAAUAUAGUUAUUAUAAAACUUUUUUUCAAAUUUCCUAAUUAUUAUUUUGAUAUUUUUGGGAUUUUUUUUAUUUUUUCAUAGAUAAAAGAGGAC
Molecule: long non-coding RNA, 210 nt
Filed under: Gossypium raimondii (Peruvian cotton)
Lineage: Eukaryota; Viridiplantae; Streptophyta; Magnoliopsida; Malvales; Malvaceae
Description: long non-coding RNA (GRAI_LNC005313)
Source: RNAcentral